CCUACGGGAGGCAGCAGUGAGGAAUAUUGGUCAAUGGGCGAGAGCCUGAACCAGCCAAGUCGCGUGAAGGAUGACGGCCCUACGGGUUGUAAACUUCUUUUGUCAGGGAGCAAUUGGGUCCACGCGUGGGCUUAGCGAGAGUACCUGAAGAAAAAGCAUCGGCUAACUCCGUGCCAGCAGCCGCGGUAAUACGGAGGAUGCGAGCGUUAUCCGGUUUUAUUGGGUUAAAGGGGUGCGUAGGCGGAAUAUCAAGUAGGGGGAAAAAUUCGGGGCUCAACCCCGUCGUGCCGUUGAAACUGAUGUUCUUGAGUGGGCGAGAAGUAUGCGGAAUGCGUGGUGUAGCGGUGAAAUGCAUAGAUAUCACGCAGAACUCCGAUUGCGAAGGCAGCAUACCGGCGCCCAACUGACGCUGAAGCACGAAAGCGUGGGUAUCGAACAGGAUUAGAUACCCUGGUAGUC
Molecule: ribosomal RNA, 459 nt
Filed under: uncultured bacterium
Lineage: Bacteria
Description: partial 16S ribosomal RNA
Rfam family: Bacterial small subunit ribosomal RNA
Source: RNAcentral